Molecule: ribosomal RNA, 428 nt
Filed under: uncultured bacterium
Lineage: Bacteria
Description: bacterial SSU rRNA
Rfam family: Bacterial small subunit ribosomal RNA
Source: RNAcentral
GUGGGGAAUAUUGGGCAAUGGGCGAAAGCCUGACCCAGCGACGCCGCGUGAGGGAAGACGGUCUUCGGAUUGUAAACCUUAGUUAGCAGGGAAGAAGAAAGUGACGGUACCUGCAGAGAAAGCCACGGCUAACUACGUGCCAGCAGCCGCGGUAAUACGUAGGUGGCAAGCGUUAUCCGGAAUUACUGGGUGUAAAGGGUGUGUAGGCGGGGAUGCAAGUCAGAUGUGAAAAUUACAGGCUUAACCUGUAACCUGCAUUUGAAACUGCGUUUCUUGAGUGUCGGAGAGGUAAAUGGAAUUCCUGGUGUAGCGGUGAAAUGCGUAGAUAUCAGGAGGAACACCGGUGGCGAAGGCGAUUUACUGGACGACAACUGACGCUGAAACACGAAAGCGUGGGGAGCAAACAGGAUUAGAAACCCUAGUAGUCC